CUCUUUUAGCAGGGAAGAAGCGAAAGUGACGGUACCUGCAGAAAAAGCGCCGGCUAACUACGUGCCAGCAGCCGCGGUAAUACGUAGGGCGCAAGCGUUAUCCGGAAUUAUUGGGCGUAAAGAGCUCGUAGGCGGUUUGUCGCGUCUGCUGUGAAAUCCCGAGGCUCAACCUCGGGUCUGCAGUGGGUACGGGCAGACUAGAGUGCGGUAGGGGAGAUUGGAAUUCCUGGUGUAGCGGUGGAAUGCGCAGAUAUCAGGAGGAACACCGAUGGCGAAGGCAGAUCUCUGGGCCGUAACUGACGCUGAGGAGCGAAAGGGUGGGGAGCAAACAGGCUUAGAUACCCUGGUAGUCCACCCCGUAAACGUUGGGAACUAGUUGUGGGGACCAUUCCACGGUUUCCGUGACGCAGCUAACGCAUUAAGUUCCCCGCCUGGGGAGUACGGCCGCAAGGCUAAAACUCAAAGGAAUUGACGGGGACCCGCACAAGCGGCGGAGCAUGCGGAUUAAUUCGAUGCAACGCGAAGAACCUUACCAAGGCUUGACAUAUACGAGAACGGGCCAGAAAUGGUCAACUCUUUGGACACUCGUAAACAGGUGGUGCAUGGUUGUCGUCAGCUCGUGUCGUGAGAUGUUGGGUUAAGUCCCGCAACGAGCGCAACCCUCGUUCUAUGUUGCCAGCACGUAAUGGUGGGAACUCAUGGGAUACUGCCGGGGUCAACUCGGAGGAAGGUGGGGAUGACGUCAAAUCAUCAUGCCCCUUAUGUCUUGGGCUUCACGCAUGCUACAAUGGCCGGUACAAAGGGCUGCAAUACCGUGAGGUGGAGCGAAUCCCAAAAAGCCGGUCCCAGUUCGGAUUGAGGUCUGCAACUCGACCUCAUGAAGUCGGAGUCGCUAGUAAUCGCAGAUCAGCAACGCUGCGGUGAAUACGUUCCCGGGUCUUGUACACACCGCCCGUCAAGUCAUGAAAGUCG
This 972-nucleotide ribosomal RNA is filed under the name Microbacterium testaceum. RNAcentral's name for it is "bacterial SSU rRNA". It matches the Rfam family "Bacterial small subunit ribosomal RNA", at positions 431 to 1413 of the family's 1533-position model. Lineage: Bacteria; Bacillati; Actinomycetota; Actinomycetes; Micrococcales; Microbacteriaceae. The record is from RNAcentral.